RNAcentral lists this transfer RNA (73 nucleotides) under Canis lupus familiaris (dog). It matches the Rfam family "tRNA". From Rfam's summary of the family: Transfer RNA (tRNA) molecules are approximately 80 nucleotides in length. RNAcentral also lists the same sequence under 2 other names. Lineage: Eukaryota; Metazoa; Chordata; Mammalia; Carnivora; Canidae. The record is from Rfam by way of RNAcentral.
GCCUGGCUGGCUCAGUCGGUGGAGUGUGUGACUCUUGAUCUUGGGGUCGUGGGUUCGAGUCCCAUGUUGGGCA